This is a small nuclear RNA of Heterocephalus glaber (naked mole-rat), 107 nucleotides long. NCBI's taxonomy places the organism in Eukaryota, Metazoa, Chordata, Mammalia, Rodentia, Bathyergidae. The record is from Ensembl.
GUGCUCACUUCAGCAGCACAUAUACUAAAACUGGAAUGAUACAGAGAGGAUUAGCAUGGCCCCUGUGCAAAAAUGACACAUGAUAUUAUUCUCAAUCACUUGUUUCA